RNAcentral lists this ribosomal RNA (525 nucleotides) under Fusarium acuminatum. Its description in RNAcentral is "eukaryotic LSU rRNA". The stretch from base 157 to 310 matches the Rfam family "5.8S ribosomal RNA". The record is from RNAcentral. Lineage: Eukaryota; Fungi; Ascomycota; Sordariomycetes; Hypocreales; Nectriaceae.
CAUUACCGAGUUUACAACUCCCAAACCCCUGUGAACAUACCUUAAUGUUGCCUCGGCGGAUCAGCCCGCGCCCCGUAAAACGGGACGGCCCGCCAGAGGACCCAAACUCUAAUGUUUCUUAUUGUAACUUCUGAGUAAAACAAACAAAUAAAUCAAAACUUUCAACAACGGAUCUCUUGGUUCUGGCAUCGAUGAAGAACGCAGCAAAAUGCGAUAAGUAAUGUGAAUUGCAGAAUUCAGUGAAUCAUCGAAUCUUUGAACGCACAUUGCGCCCGCUGGUAUUCCGGCGGGCAUGCCUGUUCGAGCGUCAUUUCAACCCUCAAGCCCCCGGGUUUGGUGUUGGGGAUCGGCUCUGCCCUUCUGGGCGGUGCCGCCCCCGAAAUACAUUGGCGGUCUCGCUGCAGCCUCCAUUGCGUAGUAGCUAACACCUCGCAACUGGAACGCGGCGCGGCCAUGCCGUAAAACCCCAACUUCUGAAUGUUGACCUCGGAUCAGGUAGGAAUACCCGCUGAACUUAAGCAUAUC